UCCGCUCGGCGCUGGGGGAAUCCCAGGCGUCCCCCCGCCCUCUCUUCCCUCUUUCUCUCUCUCUCUUUUCAUCUUCUCUUUCAAAAUGCUCUGAAGAGUGGGAAAGCUGGCAGGAAAGGAGAGAAAAUGAGGCUCAGAAGGAACGGGUCUGCCGGGCAGCAGUUUGUUCACGUGAGGUUCUUCUUCCCAGGAACCUCGGUGCUGAAGGGUCCCCAGGCCUCGUGCCACCCGCGGGCAGCAGGCUUGGGAGCAGCUGGGGGAUGAGCCUCCUGCUCCCUCCUGAACACAGAGGGGGGAGACGGUGGGGCCUGGCCUCACCGCAGCAGUGAGGUCAGGGCCGCAGGAGGCCAGGUAGGUGCCAGGCCUCUGCUGGCCUCUGUGGGAGCCAUGCUGGAGACAGGGACAAUGGGUUCUCUCCCCUGCCUUGAAGGCGAGAGCUUGAGGUCCCAGGUGGAGGGGAAGAGGCCUGGACGCGGGUGUGGCGUCCCAGUAGGGUAGUUUCCAGGCCUGGUCACCCCAGGAACUCAGGCCAGCACUGACUCCUCCCGCCCACCUGGACACAGGCUCUACAGAAGAGCCGGUCAGAUACCAGCUAAGGACUCCCCAGCACCCCAGCGGGGCUUGGUGCUUCAAGAAAGCUCCAACAGGCCUCCACCCAUGCCCCUCCUCUAUCCAUCCUGAACUGACCUUCCUGGCCACCUCUCUCUGCCCACAGGACCAUAUCUGAGAAGGAUGGAGCUGGAGAAGACCCACCCAGGCCCCUUGCCAGGAGAGAAAUGGUUCCUUGGCUGCCCACCGCCAACGCCAAGUGUCUGGGUCAGGGCAGAGAAGCAGAGCCCUGCAGGACUGGCAAGACUGGAUUCCUUUUCAGACCAGAUGCCACUGGGUGGCUGGUGGCACUGUCACAGCUGGGACUGGAGCCAAGUCUGCAGGGGCGAGAGACCCCACAGCACCAACCACACCACAGCCUGGGGUCUGCAUGCUGAGCCCAAAGUGGCCUGGACCUGUCCUGGGUGAGCAGAGAGCCCUGUGCUGGUCCCUGCAGCCAUGGAGAAGCCCUCCCCCAGGAAGGACUGGGAGGCAGGUCAGCUGUGCCCUGGCCGCUCCGAGGGGUCCCUGCAUGGCCCCCAGGCGUCCUCUCUGCAUGGCCAUCCUCAAGGUCAAGCAGCUCUCCCUGGGAGUCUCCAGAGACGAGCCGCUAGCCAUGCCCUGGAGACGACCACUGCACUCCAGGGCCCCAGAUUUGGUUCAGGAAUUACGGAUUGCAGGGAGGAGGGGUCUGUCCUGGAGCCAGCCCCCAUGGUCAGGGCCGGAGUCGCCCCCUCCUCUUUCCAGCCACAGCCAUAGGAGCCUCAUGGGUUGGGAGGGCAGUGAGGACCAAUCUGUCCCGUGCCCAGGGUCUCGCCCCUCCCGAUCUGCACCCCAGGACAAGCUCACCCGCUCCCGUGGCUUCCUCCUCAAGAGCUUCUGCCUUCAACCUCUGUCCCUCUCCCCGUCUCCCUCUGUCUCCCCAACACACGCACGCCCCGGCUCCCCGGCCACCCUGCUCACCUACCCGGCUACUGCACCCUUCCGGACGCCACAUAGACAUCCCUCUCUCAGAGGAUUUUUCCGCCCCCAAUCCUGGGACAGGUGCCCCAAGUUUCCCCCUCUUCACGUCAAUCCUGCUGGGCUGGCAUUGCCUGCCUCCCUGGACAGAACACCGCUUGGGAGCAAGACCACUGGAUGCCCUGUGCCUGGCGCAUGGUAGAUGCCCAGGAAAUAAAUGUGAAAGGAACCAACUUUCCCAGCAGAGAGCAAACGCCCAACCCCCAGGGUUAGGGACUGGUGAAGAGCCAACGGGAAGUAUAGCAGUACCUUCGAAGGGCUGCUGGGGAGAAGGCCCAUCCUGCAGCCACCCCAUCCCCCAGCCCCGCAGCCCCUCCCCCCAGCCCCUGCCAUCCGCAGCCAGGCAAGCUCACACUCCAAGACAGAGCUGGAGGCUGGCGGCUCUGCCAUCAUCUGAGGCAGGCUCGUCAGCCGUUACCAUGGAGACCAGCCAGCAGUCAGCUCCGUGCCCUCCUGCUGCAGGGGCCGGGCAGAGCAAAGGUAGAGCCAGCUGCACCCAGAGAGAAGCCACUGAGAGAGAGGAAGCCUGUGUCCCUGUACCCAGACAGGUCUGUGGAGGCCAGUCCCCACCCACUCCUCCUCUUUCCUGUAGAUGGGUGACCUCAGGCAAGUCACUUUACCUCCCUGAGCUUCCUGGAAGGAAUGCAGAUGAGGCUGCCAACCUCACAGUGGCACAGGGAUGAAUUGAGCCUGUUAGGGCACGAGACUGUCACCAUGUCAUCCCAGUGUGUUAAGCUCUGCUCUGUGCUAGUUUUCCGGGACUGUCAUGAGGGUUUCUGUCCACAGCCCUUGUGUCCAGUUCCCCCACCCCACCCCUAACUUAGGCGGGGCUGGAGGAAGGAAGAGAGGCUCUGUCCCAAAAUAGCACAAAAAUAUGAUAUUGUGUGACAUCUGAAAACAAAGGACACCUACAGGGCUGCUGCUAACCAAACGUCGAAGGUGGCCUGGCUCUGAGGGUCACUACCUUGCUGCCCUGGGUGCCACCCUGCCCACUUCCUGUAAUGAGCUAAUCUCUAAGGGUGGCAGCCCUGCUCCUGAAGGACUUAAGGUGGCAUUCCACCGGAAGAGCAGCCUUCAAGUCUCAGGGAGCUUGGGGAGGGAGGACAUCCUGGCUACGGGUUGCCUUAAACAACCACUUGUCUUGGUACCAGGGAGGACAGGUCAAGGUGCUGCAGCCGGCCCUGAGCACGAGAAAGCUGCUCUCCAGCUCUCCACAGCCACAUGGAUCCUGGUGUGGUGUUGAUCACCCGUGUUUCCUUCCCCCAAAUGUCACCUCCGUCCAGCUCCUGGGCAGGGGGAGCUCAGCUGUGUUCCCAAUGGGAGAACCUGCAACCCGUGCACUGGUCAGUUGUUGCUGCCACCAUGCUGCAUAACAAGCCAUCCCAGAAGCCUCCGGGGCUUGGACAACAAAGCUGACUGAUUUGUUUUUUUAUUCCUGGGUCCAGGUCAGCAGGGGCCCUGCUCCAGGUGCCUUUGCAGGUGGCAUGGUCACACGCAGCAUCAGCAGGGCCUGAGAAGGUCUGCAUCCACUCGGGGGGGGGGGGUUGUAAAGCCACCUGGCAAAGGACACAGAUGUGAAAAUCUAUUCCAGGGAGAGAUGGAAAGAAGACUAGGAAACAAGAACCCAAUUUGCCACAAACUAUCAAAUGGAAGAAAUUAAAAAGAAUAUGUCCCUUGCAGGGUAGAACGUCUCUACGGACAGGUGCAUUGAAGGUGUGCUGUCAACGACAAAGCACAGAUAAAUGCAUUAUCCUGUGUC
Molecule: non-coding RNA, 3367 nt
Organism: Ictidomys tridecemlineatus (thirteen-lined ground squirrel)
Lineage: Eukaryota; Metazoa; Chordata; Mammalia; Rodentia; Sciuridae
Source: RefSeq, a predicted model, not a curated record